GGGAGAGGCCCCAGGGGCAGAGGGGGUAACAGAGAGCACCGGGCGGUGAACGGAGAGUGUCUGGGCCAAUCUUUGCCUGGCAAAAGGAAGGACAGUUAUCCUCGGGAGACAGCUGGGAAAGCGACGGCUGGUGCAGCCCGGGCUUCGUGAGCCGGCUCGGCCCUGUGAGGAGCUGAAGGACGUGCUGCUAGCAGUGACGUGUCAAAGCCGCAAGCACCUGUGACGGAGCAGCGGGGGCUGUGGCGAGCACCAUGUCCAGUGGAACAGCUGGUACGGUGCCGGCGGUUUGGGCCCACCGAGAACACCCCGGUUUCUGUGGCUGAUGGUCUCCCGUCGGCAGUGGAGAAAGGACCAGGGUCCGACUGAGCUCCAAGCUGCCAACUCUCAUGGCACAUCUCCCGCCAGCUGCUGGGGUCCCUGAGGACAGUCCCAGCUGCUUUCAUUAAGAACACCAAGGAAGGGUCUAGUUCCAACUGGUCCAGAGAAAAGUUUGGUCAGGGGUGCAGGUAACGGCCCAGCAGCUCAGAAAGCAGCCAGCAAAGGAAGAGCCCAACCCUGACUCCCCUGCCUGUUCCCACUGCAGUGCGCUCUGCCUGCCUUGCAGCAGACACCCACGUGGGGCUGGCCUGUGAGUGGGGCUGCCAGAUGUGGAGAGGCUUUCAAGGGUGCUGGGGGGGACUCACUCAGCAGCUCCCCCAACAGGCAUGGCCCAUGUGGCACUCCCCACGGUCCCACCUGACGGGAGAGGACCCCCAGAGGAGACAGUGCAGGGCUGCAGAGCCACCUGGCCGGAGACAAAGCUCUGCUCUGUAUACCGCAGGGCACGGGUGCCCAUGGGCAGACUGAGGCUGGGGUGGAUUGUGGCUCCAGUGCCCAGCAACCUGGCCUGCAGGUGGACUUGGUUUCCUUGCACAGCAGCCGAGAGCCAGAGGGUAAAUACAGGGACAGGUGCAAGAGUGUGACAGCAAAUCAGAAACCCCUUCUAGAGGGCAGGGAUGGAGAAAUGUCCGGGGCCACCUGCAUAGGGCCCAAGGCAUGGUUCCCCCAGCUGCAGAAGCUGUGAGGUGCUGGACAUGUCCUGCUCCCAGCAGUGUGGGCCCACAGCCCAGCCAGCAGCUCCGACCACAGGUGCAACUGGCCAUUCUCCCCUGGCACUCCGAAGGUGUCUCCUGGGAAGGGCAGCCUGCCCCUGCCCCUUGACUGAAAGGGCCUGGGUGCUGGAGAAGGUUCCUUUCCCCCCCCCCAACACACAGUGGCUAGUUCUCUGCCAAAUGCUUCCCCUCCUCCGGGCCGAGCAGUGCUGUCCCUGCCUGUCCCACACCUUCAGCAGCAGCGAGAGUAAACAUAGCUUCAGCCCCCCGUUGCAACUUGAGCAAGAGCCCGGACAGCACAGACCACUCCCCCUGCCUCCACCCUCCAAGGGGCCAGCUCACAGGCUGGGGGAGCUCACAAUGCUGCUCAUCAGCAGGGCCCAGCCCCCAGCCAGCUGUCCAGGGAAGCCAGGAAACCACCCUGCCCCUCAUCAGCCACCGCCCCAGCACUGCUCAGAAUGACCUUCUCACUGCCUGGACUGUCUCUCCGCGCUGGCCCAAGGCAGAUCUCCAGCCAGUGAAGAAUACAGUGCGCUGGAGGUCGGGGUGCUGCUCCAGGGACCUCGGUUACCUACCGGGGAAAUUCUUUUGAUGUUCUCUGCAGCCCUCAAGGGCCGAGACAGACAGCAGUGCACCCCAGCUCUAGGUAUCAGCCCAAGGAGCACAAGAGCCCCCACACCUGGCCCUUGUCUGGCAAGGAAGAGGCCCAGCUCUGGAGAAGAUGUAAUUGAGACUUGUCCUUUUAUUGGGGAUUUUCACAGUUGAUGGGGGGGUGGGAGAAGUGAGAGAAUAGUACUUUGACUCCAUAGCCGCACAGCUGGUAGGACAGUGUAGACACACACAAGACAUGGGCCCUGUUGCACAAUGGGGAGGGAGGCAGAGGAACUGGGCUGGACAGAGCUACAGGCCAUGGCGAAAUACCCUCCCCAGGGGGACUGCAGAGAUCAAACC
Long non-coding RNA from Chelonia mydas (Green sea turtle), 2042 nucleotides. RefSeq lists it as uncharacterized. NCBI's taxonomy places the organism in Eukaryota, Metazoa, Chordata, Testudines, Cheloniidae. The record is from RefSeq and is a predicted model, not a curated record. The transcript has 3 exons.